This 464-nucleotide ribosomal RNA is filed under the name uncultured bacterium. Its description in RNAcentral is "partial 16S ribosomal RNA". It matches the Rfam family "Bacterial small subunit ribosomal RNA", at positions 28 to 506 of the family's 1533-position model. The record is from RNAcentral.
GAUGAACGCUGGCGGCGUGCUUAACACAUGCAAGUCGAACGGAAAGGCCCCUGCUUGCAGGGGUACUCGAGUGGCGAACGGGUGAGUAACACGUGGGUGAUCUGCCCUGCACUUCGGGAUAAGCCUGGGAAACUGGGUCUAAUACCGGAUAGGACGAUGGUUUGGAUGCCAUUGUGGAAAGUUUUUCGGUGUGGGAUGAGCUCGCGGCCUAUCAGCUUGUUGGUGGGGUAAUGGUCUACCAAGGCGUCGACGGGUAGCCGGCCUGGGAGGGUGUAGGGCCACAUUGGGACGGAGAUACGGCCCAGACUCCUACGGGGGGAAGCGGUGGGGAAUAUUGCACAAUGGGCGCAAGCCUGAUGCAGCGACGCCGGGUGGGGGAUGACGGCCUUCGGGUGGUAAACUCCUUUCGCUAGGGACGAAGCGCAAGGGACGGUACCUGGAGAAGAAGCACCGGCUAACUACGU